GAUGAACGCUAGCGGCAGGCCUAAUACAUGCAAGUCGAACGGGAUUGCGGUGUAGCUUGCUACACUGCAUGAGAGUGGCGCACGGGAGCGUAACGCGUGAGCAACCUACCCAUAUCAGGGGGAUAGCCCGGAGAAAUCCGGAUUAACACCGCAUGGGACAGUAUUACCGCAUGGUAUAGCUGUUAAAUAUUUAUAGGAUAUGGAUGGGCUCGCGUGACCUUAGCUAGUUGGGGGGGUAACGGCCCACCAAGGCGACGAUGUCUAGGGGCUCUGAGAAGAGAAUCCCCCAAAAUGGUACUGAGAAACGGACCCGACUCCUACGGGAGGCAGCAUUAAGGAAUAUUGGUAAAUGGGCGGAAGCCUGAACCAGCCAUGCCGCGUGCAGGACGACUGCCCUACGGGUUGUAAACUGCUUUUGUACGGUAAUAACCCUCUCUACGAGUAGAGAGCUGAACGUACCGUAAGAAUAAGGAUCAGCUAACUCCGUGCCAGCAGCCGCCGCCG
RNAcentral lists this ribosomal RNA (504 nucleotides) under uncultured bacterium. RNAcentral's name for it is "partial 16S ribosomal RNA". It matches the Rfam family "Bacterial small subunit ribosomal RNA", at positions 28 to 523 of the family's 1533-position model. The record is from RNAcentral.